AAACUGGAGGAUGGCGACCGGCGCACGGGUGAGUAACACGUAUCCAACCUGCCGAUAACUCGGGGAUAGCCUUUCGAAAGAAAGAUUAAUACCCGAUAGUAUAAUGAAACCGCAUGGUCUUAUUAUUAAAGAAUUUCGGUUAUCGAUGGGGAUGCGUUCCAUUAGGCAGUUGGUGGGGUAACGGCUCACCAAACCUUCGAUGGAUAGGGGUUCUGAGAGGAAGGUCCCCCACAUUGGAACUGAGACACGGUCCAA
This 255-nucleotide ribosomal RNA is filed under the name uncultured bacterium. RNAcentral describes it as "partial 16S ribosomal RNA". It matches the Rfam family "Bacterial small subunit ribosomal RNA", at positions 80 to 334 of the family's 1533-position model. The record is from RNAcentral.